This 538-nucleotide ribosomal RNA is filed under the name Cercospora citrullina. Its description in RNAcentral is "eukaryotic LSU rRNA". The stretch from base 178 to 331 matches the Rfam family "5.8S ribosomal RNA". The record is from RNAcentral. Lineage: Eukaryota; Fungi; Ascomycota; Dothideomycetes; Mycosphaerellales; Mycosphaerellaceae.
UUCCGUAGGGUAACCUGCGGAGGGAUCAUUACUGAGUGAGGGCCUUCGGGCUCGACCUCCAACCCUUUGUGAACACAACUUGUUGCUUCGGGGGCGACCCUGCCGUUUCGACGGCGAGCGCCCCCGGAGGCCUUCAAACACUGCAUCUUUGCGUCGGAGUUUAAGUAAAUUAAACAAAACUUUCAACAACGGAUCUCUUGGUUCUGGCAUCGAUGAAGAACGCAGCGAAAUGCGAUAAGUAAUGUGAAUUGCAGAAUUCAGUGAAUCAUCGAAUCUUUGAACGCACAUUGCGCCCCUUGGUAUUCCGAGGGGCAUGCCUGUUCGAGCGUCAUUUCACCACUCAAGCCUCGCUUGGUAUUGGGCGCCGCGGUGUUCCGCGCGCCUCAAAGUCUCCGGCUGAGCUGUCCGUCUCUAAGCGUUGUGAUUUCAUUAAUCGCUUCGGAGCGCGGGCGGUCGCGGCCGUUAAAUCUUUCACAAGGUUGACCUCGGAUCAGGUAGGGAUACCCGCUGAACUUAAGCAUAUCAAUAAGCGGAGGAA